GACGAACGCUGACGGCGUGCUUUAGACAUGCAAGUCGAACGAGAAAGCCCUUCGGGGUUAGUAAAGUGGCGAACGGGUGAGUAACACAUGGGCAAUCUGCCCUUCGUUGGGGGACAACCGGGGGAAACCCCGGCUAAUACCUCGUAAGCUUGUCGGGUCGCAUGGCCUGACAAGGAGAGGUAGCUUCGGCCAUCCGGCGAAGGAGGAGCCCGCGGUACAUUAGCUAGUUGGUGAGGUAAAGGCCCACCAAGGCGACGAUGUAUAGCUGGUCUGAGAGGAUGAUCAGCCACACUGGGACUGAGACACGGCCCAGACUCCUACGGGAGGCAGCAGUCGGGAAUCUUGCACAAUGGGCGAAAGCCUGAUGCAGCAACGCCGUGUGAGCGACGAAGGCCCUAGGGUCGUAAAGCUCUGUUGUUAGGGACGAAGGGCGAAGGGUUAAUAGCCCUUAGCCUGACGGUACCUUUCGAGGAAGCCCCGGCUAACUACGUGCCAGCAGCCGCCGUAA
This 508-nucleotide ribosomal RNA is filed under the name uncultured bacterium. Its description in RNAcentral is "partial 16S ribosomal RNA". It matches the Rfam family "Bacterial small subunit ribosomal RNA", at positions 28 to 523 of the family's 1533-position model. The record is from RNAcentral.